Pezoporus occidentalis (night parrot) is the source of this 3665-nucleotide long non-coding RNA. RefSeq lists it as uncharacterized. NCBI's taxonomy places the organism in Eukaryota, Metazoa, Chordata, Aves, Psittaciformes, Psittacidae. The record is from RefSeq and is a predicted model, not a curated record. The transcript has 2 exons.
UCCUGUCCAAGAAGGUCAGCUAGAUCUGCAAUGCUACGUCCUUCUGGUACCUAAAAGAGCUUGUGUUUUUGUUCUUUGCGUUUGUGCUAGUGGAGAUGUGAUGGUAUGAAGAUAAAGCUGGAAUGUUUCAUUUGACCAACUGUUGGACUAUGAGCAGGCGGAAUCAAACCAUCACAUCUGAAUCUGGUUUCUUCUGGCCCAUGCUUGGAAAGGUUUCUACUGUAACAAUCCAGAGGUCUGUGCUCCACUCUAAUGAGAAGCCUGAUCCAAGGUCUGCCAAACCUAGGAAACACCUACUACACACCAAAAACUCGAUUCCUUGGGUCUAAAAGCUGUGCAUGGAAAGAUAGAGUGUUUGUACUGAGGGCAGCUACUCCCUUUUGCAGGAUGGAAAUAACCCUUGAGCAGCAAGAACAACAUGUACUGAAGAUUUACUGGCAUGUGUGAAAACUCUCAGAGACUCCUUUUCCUUACAAUUACAGUGUCUGCUGUUGCCUUACGUUACUCUGGAUAUUUUCAUCAUCUACCUGUAGGGAAGAUGCUGAUUCUUCCUAAUACCAUGUCUUUACCUUCUGCUGUGUUGUCCAUUCUUAAAACAAUAUUCUUGCACCUCCUGGUGCAAGGAACGAGAUCCUGUGGUUUUAAAUUCCCAGUCUAUGUUUACUGGUAAGUGAUAGUUACCAAGUAACUUGGGGACCUCCUUUUUCUCUGCCAUUCCCCAAAAGAGGGUUAAGAAAGAAUAAAAAGAAGAUUCAUGGAUUUGUUCACAGUCAGUGCAGGGCUGGUUAGUCAGUCCUCACAAGCCUUGUAUUUUUAGCUCCUUUGGCUGUUUAGUUAACUUGUAAUUUGCUGUGUCGCAGGAAUGACAUCACACAGGAGCAUUUUUAGUAGCUGUUGAAAUUAAGUGUCUUAACAGAAAUAAACCCACAAAGAGAGUUUAGCUUAUGGUGCACUGGCUGCUUAGCCUCCUGGGAGGGCAGCUGAGUGAAACUUCAGUGAAGCUCCAGGGACUGACAACAUCAUUCAUCCUGCACAGGAUAAAUCUAAGGUGCAGCUAAGCUCCCUUGGAGUAAACUAGCUUAAACUAGCAAGUUAAAAAAUCACUGCAACUUUCAAGGCCUAAAUGGGAGAUACAUGAAGAAUGUCAGUCUACUGGGAUCUGAGAGAAAGAGGCUCACAACUGGUUGGUGCAAUGUAUGUCUGCGAGCAGGAGCAACCAGAAAGUAAAGCUUAGCCACGUUUCUUUAGGAGAAUAAACCAUAGGGACAGUUUUAUGCACAGGAGACUGGCUAAAAACAGAUGUCAGAUUGUGAGCAGAGGGAAUAGUUCUGCAUUUGGAUGGGCAUGGAAUACAUGAAAUGUACAAUCAAUAGGCUUGCAUAACACCCUUUUAUUCUCAUUAAUUUAUUUUUCUAAUAGACAAAAUCCCCUGAUGUUAAGUAACUGGCUGUCUUAAUGGGUUAAAAAUACUGUGCCUGACCAGGAUCAUACAUAAAGCAAUCCAAGCUUUGCUUUUGGUAAAAUCUAUGAGAUUUCUUCUCUAAUUGAUAAACAUAAACCAUUUCAAUUUUACUUUGGUCAUAACAUUGAAGAUGAUCUUUGUGAUCACAGUGCUUAAGUUCUGAGUAUGGAGGAACAGAAAUUUCAGCUAGAUGCCCAAGGACUUAACAACUUAAUUCCCAUUACAGUUAAUUAAAUAAAACGAUAAUAACUAUAAUUAAAACCCAAGGAUUUAUCCUAUGAAGUAAUUUAAAGGGACUGAUGGGUGGAAGGCACUAUACCAUUCUAAUCAAAUUACCACUGACUCAUUAUGAGUGAAGGUUAUAUAACCAGAAAUGUGGUUGCAAGCAGAUGCAGAAUAAAUACCGCUCAAUAUUAAAUAUGUGCAAAAUAUUGAAGGAACAAGUCUCUUCUCAAAGCAAAAAGCUAUUAUAUAGGGAAGCAUAUUCUCCCAAGUUUUAAUGUACUUACCACACAGUUGAAGUUUGGAAUAGUUGCAUAUUUGUAAGAGUAAGGGUACAGCAGCAUCUGUGCAUAAGCGUGGAAGGACAAAUAGGCUUUUAUUUGUUUCCGAUGUUUGCGGAGAAAAUGAGCAACAGCCUUUACUUCAGGCUCAGACUCGGGAAAGGGACCACAGUAGGUGUCAUCGCAUGGGUGAAAUGAAGCACCUUCAUCUAGAGAUUGAAAGAGAAAGUUGAUGGUGAAUGGUUACAGAGAAUUUCCCAAGGGUCAGCUUCUGGCUCACCCUGUGUGGGCCCCUGUGCACAAGUGUGAAAAGCAAUAUACAGAUUCCUUUCUUGUGAUUGAUAGGCAUGAGCCAGUGGGACCUCAGUACAGCAAAUCUGCUUAUUCAUCUAGGACACAUACCAAGUUGCCAAUUGGCCAGCUACAUGCAGCUCUUCCCAGAGGACAUAUUUUUAACCCAACAGAAAAAAAGAGAGCCUGACUUCAUUGUAUUUUCUUCUCUGGCUUUCCAUAUAAGUGGCAUAUUUUAUGGUAGCAUUCCAGCAUUAAAACUAUUGAAGGGUCUCAGGGGGUCUAUUUGAAAUCAGAGAGGUAUACCUCUUUCACUAGUCACUGCCAAGACAAAUCUAGUCUUUAAGAGCAUUUUAAUGUACUAGCUAUUACAGUGGUGGUUACAAUGGUAGGUAGAUAACCACAAAAGGCAUAAACUAGGAGAGCGGUUUAAAACAUGAUAAUAGUUCCUGACUGCUGCCUAGUUUUACUUUUGCAAAUCUCAUGCAAAAAAAAAUAAAAAUGACAAGACGAUGGAUUGAUUGCUCAGUUAGCUAAAAUAGGAAUAAUUUCAGUCUGUACAGGGCUUAAUUUUCCUUCAAGUUUGGGGCUGGGGUUCAGUUGUGAGGCUGUCUUUCACUACAUCAACCUGCUCACAUGGCAGUAAGCUACAGAAGUGUAGCCUGCCUGUAAUAUCUCAUGAGGUACUGAAAGUUGAAACUCAGAAAAGGAGAUGUGGCAGUGGCUGCUUUAUCAUUCAGCAGUUCUGGAUGUAAGCCACCACCUCAUUUACAGCUUAGGGCCUGAGCCUAAAAGAACAAUAUCUAUGCAAAUCUACUCCACUCUUUUAUCCACUGUGAUUUUACAAUGCCACAUGUUUUACACUGACCAGCAUAAUAAUAAUAGUUUGUCUGUGACAUUCCCUGGUGUUAUCAGGGACUUACAAAAGCAGUGUUUUAUUAGCUUUCCUUUGUAUAGUAAGUACUGCCAUCUUCAAAUAAUAAGAGCAGUGUGUGAGAAGGCAUAACAUGAACUAAACCAGGUUUUUGCAAUCAAUGUAAUGCCAAAAAUUUCAAAACUGGAAGAUUUUAAUGCUGCACCUUCAUUUGUAAUAAGAAAAUUGAGGCUACCAUUCAAUGGCCACAGGUGGGGAUUUCAAAAGGUAUUAGUGCUUAGACUGCAGUAGAUAUGGAAGGGUUAUAUAGAGGGCAGAUGGUCUUUUCCCUACAGAACAGAUGGCCACCAAGGCAUCCAGAUCCCAAGAGCACUCUGCCUUGAUGUCUUGUCAGAUAUUAUAGCUAAAGAAGAGCUAUUUAACAGACCCUCUGGAGCCUUUGCAUUUUUUAAUGGAUGCUUCAUCUCCUGUAACAGUGUUGUACCCUGAUUCAUGAAAAUGGACAUCACUGUUAAUAAACAGCAGAAUCCUACAA